AUGCAGCCAUGCCGCGUGUAUGAAGAAGGCCUUCGGGUUGUAAAGUACUUUCAGCAGUGAGGAAGGCGGGUACGUUAAUAGCGUGCUCGUUUGACGUUAGCUGCAGAAGAAGCACCGGCUAACUCCGUGCCAGCAGCCGCGGUAAUACGGAGGGUGCGAGCGUUAAUCGGAAUUACUGGGCGUAAAGCGCAUGCAGGUGGUUUGUUAAGUCAGAUGUGAAAGCCCGGGGCUCAACCUCGGAAUUGCAUUUGAAACUGGCAGACUAGAGUACUGUAGAGGGGGGUAGAAUUUCAGGUGUAGCGGUGAAAUGCGUAGAGAUCUGAAGGAAUACCGGUGGCGAAGGCGGCCCCCUGGACAGAUACUGACACUCAGAUGCGAAAGCGUGGGGAGCAAACAGGAUUAGAUACCCUGGUAGUCCACGCCGUAAACGAUGUCUACUUGGAGGUUGUGGCCUUGAGCCGUGGCUUUCGGAGCUAACGCGUUAAGUAGACCGCCUGG
RNAcentral lists this ribosomal RNA (498 nucleotides) under Vibrio sp. RNAcentral's name for it is "bacterial SSU rRNA". It matches the Rfam family "Bacterial small subunit ribosomal RNA", at positions 386 to 876 of the family's 1533-position model. Lineage: Bacteria; Pseudomonadati; Pseudomonadota; Gammaproteobacteria; Vibrionales; Vibrionaceae. The record is from RNAcentral.